GGAGUCGUGGCCGAGUGGUUAUGGCGCUAGUUUCAGGUUUGAUUCUACUGUCUGGUUUCCCGAAUUACUAGUUGGGCAACCUUCGCGAGUUCGAGUCUCGCCGACUUCA
Molecule: non-coding RNA, 109 nt
Organism: Peltaster fructicola
Lineage: Eukaryota; Fungi; Ascomycota; Dothideomycetes
Source: the annotation of a GenBank genome assembly